GACGAACGCUGGCGGCGUGCUUAACACAUGCAAGUCGAACGGUGACGAGGAGCUUGCUCCUCUGAUCAGUGGCGAACGGGUGAGUAACACGUGAGCAACCUGCCCCAGACUCUGGGAUAACAGUUGGAAACAGCUGCUAAUACCGGAUACGAGACGGAGAGGCAUCUCUACCGUCUGGAAAGUUUUUCGGUCUGGGAUGGACUCGCGGCCUAUCAGCUAGUUGGUGAGGUAAUGGCUCACCAAGGCGACGACGGGUAGCCGGCCUGAGAGGGCGACCGGUCACACUGGGACUGAGACACGGCCCAGACUCCUACGGGAGGCAGCAGUGGGGAAUAUUGCACAAUGGGCGAAAGCCUGAUGCAGCGACGCCGUGUGAGGGAUGACGGCCUUCGGGUUGUAAACCUCUUUCAGCAGGGAAGAAGCGAAAGUGACGGUACCUGCAGAAGAAGCACCGGCUAACUACGUG
Molecule: ribosomal RNA, 466 nt
Filed under: uncultured bacterium
Lineage: Bacteria
Description: bacterial SSU rRNA
Rfam family: Bacterial small subunit ribosomal RNA
Source: RNAcentral